RNAcentral lists this ribosomal RNA (496 nucleotides) under uncultured bacterium. RNAcentral describes it as "partial 16S ribosomal RNA". It matches the Rfam family "Bacterial small subunit ribosomal RNA", at positions 29 to 507 of the family's 1533-position model. The record is from RNAcentral.
AUGAACGCUGGCGGCGUGCCUAAUACAUGCAAGUCGAGCGAACAGACGAGGAGCUUGCUCCUUCGACGUUAGCGGCGGACGGGUGAGUAACACGUAGGUAACCUACCUAUAAGACUGGGAUAACUUCGGGAAACCGGAGCUAAUACCGGAUAAUAUUUCGAACCGCAUGGUUCGAUAGUGAAAGAUGGCUUUGCUAUCACUUAUAGAUGGACCUGCGCCGUAUUAGCUAGUUGGUAAGGUAACGGCUUACCAAGGCAACGAUACGCAGCCGACCUGAGAGGGUGAUCGGCCACACUGGAACUGAGACACGGUCCAGACUCCUACGGGAGGCAGCAGUAGGGAAUCUUCCGCAAUGGGCGAAAGCCUGACGGAGCAACGCCGCGUGAGUGAUGAAGGUCUUCGGAUCGUAAAACUCUGUUAUUAGGGAAGAACAAACGUGUAAGUAACUGUGCACGUCUUGACGGUACCUAAUCAGAAAGCCACGGCUAACUACGUG